This is an RNA transcript of Solanum tuberosum (potato), 2472 nucleotides long. It is a transcript of the gene named pseudouridine-5'-phosphate glycosidase, with no coding region annotated. The transcript has 12 exons. The record is from RefSeq and is a predicted model, not a curated record. NCBI's taxonomy places the organism in Eukaryota, Viridiplantae, Streptophyta, Magnoliopsida, Solanales, Solanaceae.
AACAAACAUACAAAUUGGAAAGAAGAAGAACUUUUUUAUUUCAAUGAUUCUUUGGGCUGAUUCAUUUGUCUUCAAAUUUAAAAUGGGUUACAUAAUUUGAGCUUUUAAUUUGAAGGUUUAAAUUGAAAUCUUCUCUGUAAAUUAAAAGCUCAAAUAACAAGAUUAUACGAGUUGAAUUGAGGAAUUUGAUAACUCAACUCCAGAUCAAGACGACUGAGUCAAAUAACUCAUUGUUGGACUCGUCGCCCGGGUUGUUACACGAAGAUAACAAGAAUGUAUUGAUUGUAGUAGCUCAAGGAAUCAUUCUGAUGCUGGUCCAUUUACUCGAUUUCAGCUUUUAAAUCUCCAUGAUUGCUUCAAGCCAGCUUUUUUGAUCUCUGGAGAUUUAUGUAUUCUCAACAAUUUUCUAAGGAUUCUUGAAUUUCAAAGUGUUCUGGGAAAACAAAAUUCAUGUAUAGCUUUGCAAACAUUGGGUAAAGAAGAGAAAUUUCAUAUUUUUUUGAAACUUGCCAAAUGAGAACACCCAAUUUUCAAGCUAUAGCUAUGGCAGCAGGUGUAUUUUUUGUGCUUAAGGCAGGUGAAAAAAGAUGGGAGUGAGAGGUGGGUUUGGAUUUUGGGGGCGGCUAGGGUUUAUUGAAAGAGAUGGGAAAGGAGAUGCAACUUAAUAGAGAGGAAAAAUUAGCUUUUUAAAAAAAUAUUAUUUAUUUUUUAAUAUUUAAUUUUUGACUUGUCAUUAAAAAAUGAUGUGGAUUUCACGUGUAUUUGGUUGUAUCACACGCACCCUCUUCAAAUGAAAAAAGAGUUAAAAAUAUUGUGUUUUAUUAAGUUUAAGUGUUUAGUUGACAAAGUCAUAAGUAAAAGGGUUCACUUUACAAUCUGAUACAAGUAUAAGAGUCUAUCGGAUCAUUUUGCAAAAAAAAAAGAGUAACUUUUAAAUAGAAAAAAGAAAGAAAAAAAAGAGUCCUGGAUUUUAAAUUUUGUCCAUCAGUCUUAAAAAAGCUAUAAAGGGCGGCGAUUGAACUGGUUGAAAGUUGAAUACGCAAAAUCAAAGUAUUGUUGAUGAUUAAUGGCUGAUUCUAGAUUAGCAAUCCUUAGUCGACACUUCACUUCAGCAGCAGAAGCAGCAGAUUGUAAGGCUGGCUCUUGCUCUUUUGGUCAAAAUUUGGGGUGGAUUAAGAUAUCCCCGGAGGUUUCAGAAGCAUUAAAACAUGGAACCCCCAUUGUUGCAUUGGAAUCCACUAUAAUAUCUCAUGGAAUGCCGUAUCCUCAGAAUUUCGAGACAGCAAAGGAGUUGGAGGUCAUUGUGAGGGAGAAUGGAGCUGUACCUGCCACUAUCGCUAUUCUGGAUGGCGUACCAUGCAUAGGCUUGACUACAGAAGAACUAGAGAUUCUAGCACGUCUUGGUAGCAAAGCUCGGAAAACUGCUAGUAGAGACAUUGCACUUGUUAUGGCAGGCAGGGAGAAUGGGGCAACUACUGUCUCUGCAACAAUGUAUCUUGCUUCGAAGGUGGGUAUUCCAGUAUUUGUCACUGGCGGUAUUGGAGGAGUACAUAGGCAUGGAGAGAACACAAUGGAUGUUUCUUCUGAUCUUACUGAGCUUGGAAAUACUCCUGUGGCUGUGAUCUCUGCUGGUAUAAAAUCGAUACUAGAUAUUCCUCGAACACUUGAAUAUUUGGAAACUCAAAGAGUUACUGUUGCAGCUUAUAGAACCGAUGAGUUCCCUGCUUUCUUCACACAAACCAGUGGCUGCAAGGCACCUGCUCGAGUAGAAUCGCCAGAACAUUGCGCUCGAGUUAUUGAUGCUAACAUAAGACUUGAGCAGAAGAGUGGAAUCUUGAUAGCAGUCCCCAUUCCAAGAGAGCAUUCUGCUUCUGGAAGUUUGAUUGAGUCGGCAAUACAGCAAGCUCUCCAAGAAGCACGAUCAUUCGUUAAAAUCUUGAUAGAGAAAGAGGAAUGUCACAAUAAAUUAUUAUCAAUCAUUUCCACAACGCCACCUGAAUUAGAUCAUGGCCUUCAGUUUACUCCAUCCUUUUAGUUUCCUUAAUGAAGUUUCAGACAUUGCUCUCGUGAAAAAUAAUGCCAGUAUCGGUGCUAAAGUUGCUGUUUCGCUUGCCCAGCUUCAAAAACGUAGUUACAACAGGUUGUAAUUCUCUUAUAUUCGCGCUCCUUCGUAUCAACUCAGCUAAGCAUUUUAAGCUCGUUGAGUCUGAAGGAAGCAGCGGCUUUGACAUAGGAAGCAGAAAGAGUGUUACUUAUGGAAGUAUGCAACCAAACAGAAAGUUAAUGCAACAUCUUUCCUUUAUAAUCUAGAAUUCUAGUGAUGUGAAUUACUCCCUCCGUUCCCUUAAGAAAUUAGGUAAGUUUAUUAUUGUACCCUUAUUUAGUGUUCUCUUGAAGUCAAGUUUUCAAUAAAUGAAUAUAAAUUAAUUUAUUUUGAUUAAUUAAAUUGGCCAAUGAACAUGAGUUAAAUCA